GUCUACAGCCAUACCACCCUGCACAUGCCCAAUCUCAUCUGAUAUCGGAAGCUAAGCAGGGUCUGGCCUGGUUAGUAUUUGGAUGGGAGAGAAAGAGAGGAAGAGGCAGAAA
RNAcentral lists this ribosomal RNA (112 nucleotides) under Jaculus jaculus (lesser Egyptian jerboa). Lineage: Eukaryota; Metazoa; Chordata; Mammalia; Rodentia; Dipodidae. The record is from RNAcentral.